UACGGGGGGGGCAAGCGUUGUUCGGAAUUACUGGGCGUAAAGGGCUCGUAGGCGGCCAACUAAGUCAGACGUGAAAUCCCCAGGCUCAACCUGGGAACUGCGUCUGAUACUGGAUGGCUUGAAUCCGGGAGAGGGAUGCAGAAUUCCAGGUGUAGCGGUGAAAUGCGUAGAUAUCAGGAGGAACACCGAUUGCGAAGGCAGCUCGCUGGGACGUCACUGACGCUGAGACGCGAAAGCGUGGGGAGCAAACAGG
This 253-nucleotide ribosomal RNA is filed under the name uncultured bacterium. Its description in RNAcentral is "partial 16S ribosomal RNA". It matches the Rfam family "Bacterial small subunit ribosomal RNA", at positions 524 to 776 of the family's 1533-position model. The record is from RNAcentral.